RNAcentral lists this non-coding RNA (30 nucleotides) under Mus musculus (house mouse). Lineage: Eukaryota; Metazoa; Chordata; Mammalia; Rodentia; Muridae. The record is from RNAcentral.
UACUUGGGUGAUUGAGGUUUGGUGAAUAAA